AACUGUGUAGUAUAAUGGUUUGCAUACUAUGCUUGUAACUCAAAGGUUGUGGGUUUGAUUCCCAGCUGGGGUC
Molecule: transfer RNA, 73 nt
Filed under: Anguilla anguilla (European eel)
Lineage: Eukaryota; Metazoa; Chordata; Actinopteri; Anguilliformes; Anguillidae
Description: tRNA-OTHER
Source: RNAcentral